AUGACCUUCAUCAUCAUCUUCAUCUGGACUCUCACAGCAUUUGCUCAAGAGUGUAGAGGACAGAUCACCGUCACUCAGAGUCCCUCAAUGACAGCAGCUCAACCAGGACAAACUGUGAACAUCAACUGUAAAUCCAGCAGAGAUGUGCAGAGAUGGCCUAGUGGGGUUGAAGGUUUAGCCUGGUACUUACAGAAACCUGGAGAAGCUCCUAAACUCCUGAUUUAUUAUGUAAAAAAACUCCAGUCAGGAACUCCAUCUAGAUUCAGUGGCAGUGGAUCUAACAGUGAUUUCACUCUGACCAUCAGUGGAGUCCAGACUGAAGAUGCUGGACAUUAUUACUGUCAGAGUUAUCACUGCACAACAAAUUGGCUUGGUGUUUGUAAUGCUGAUUAUGUGUUCACACAGUGAUAAAGAGUCGUACAAAAACCUCCGUCA
Non-coding RNA from Megalobrama amblycephala (Wuchang bream), 435 nucleotides. Lineage: Eukaryota; Metazoa; Chordata; Actinopteri; Cypriniformes; Xenocyprididae. The record is from the annotation of a RefSeq genome assembly.